This 497-nucleotide ribosomal RNA is filed under the name uncultured bacterium. RNAcentral's name for it is "partial 16S ribosomal RNA". It matches the Rfam family "Bacterial small subunit ribosomal RNA", at positions 28 to 507 of the family's 1533-position model. The record is from RNAcentral.
GAUGAACGCUGGCGGCGUGCCUAACACAUGCAAGUCGAGCGAACAGACGAGGAGCUUGCUCCUCUGACGUUAGCGGCGGACGGGUGAGUAACACGUGGCUAACCUCCCUAUAAUACUGGGCUAACUUCGGGACUCCGGCGCUAAUCCCGGCUAAUAUAUUGAACCGCAUGGUUCAAUAGUGAACGACGGUUUUGCUGUCACUUAUCUAUGGAUCCGCGCCGCAUUAGCUAGUUGGUAAGGUCACGGCUUACCAAGGCAACGAUGCGUAGCCGACGUGAGAGGAUGAUCGGCCACACGGGAACUGAGACACGGUCCAGACUACUGCGAGAGGCAGCAGUAGGGAAUCGUCCGCAAUGGGCGAAAGCCUGACGGAGCAAGGCCGCGUGAGUGAUGAAGGUCUUCGGAUCGUAAAACUCUGUUAUGAGGGAAGAACAAAUGUCUAAGUAAAUAUGCACGAAGUGACGGUACCUAAACAGAAAGCGACGGCUAACUACGUG